UUCACACAGGUGACUCUCCAACCCUUUGUUUAUUAUACCUUUGUUGCUUUGGCAAGCCGCCUCAGCCACCGGCUCACGCUGGUGAGUGCUUGCCAGAGGACCCCAAACUCUGAAUAUUAGUGUCGUCUGAGUACUAUAUAAUAGUUAAAACUUUCAACAACGGAUCUCUUGGUUCUGGCAUCGAUGAAGAACGCAGCGAAAUGCGAUAAGUAAUGUGAAUUGCAGAAUUCAGUGAAUCAUCGAAUCUUUGAACGCACAUUGCGCCCUGUGGUAUUCCGCAGGGCAUGCCUGUUCGAGCGUCAGUACAACACUCAAGCCUAGCUUGGUAUUGAGCCACGUCCGCAAGGGCCGGCUUUAAAAUCAGUGGCGGCGCCAUUUGGCUCUAAGCGUAGUAAUACUCCUCGCUAUUGAGUCCCGGUGGAUGUUGGCCAGCAACCCCCAACUUUCUAAGUUUGACCUCGGAUCAGGUA
Molecule: ribosomal RNA, 470 nt
Filed under: Helotiales sp. Di77-6
Lineage: Eukaryota; Fungi; Ascomycota; Leotiomycetes; Helotiales
Description: eukaryotic LSU rRNA
Rfam family: 5.8S ribosomal RNA (bases 149-302)
Source: RNAcentral